AUUGAACGCUGGCGGCAUGCCUUACACAUGCAAGUCGAACGGCAGCACGGGAGCAAUCCUGGUGGCGAGUGGCGAACGGGUGAGUAAUAUAUCGGAACGUGCCCAGUCGUGGGGGAUAACGUAGCGAAAGUUACGCUAAUACCGCAUACGAUCUAAGGAUGAAAGCGGGGGACUCGCAAGAGCCUCGCGCGAUUGGAGCGGCCGAUAUCAGAUUAGGUAGUUGGUGGGGUAAAGGCUCACCAAGCCAACGAUCUGUAGCUGGUCUGAGAGGACGACCAGCCACACUGGAACUGAGACACGGUCCAGACUCCUACGGGAGGCAGCAGUGGGGAAUUUUGGACAAUGGACGCAAGUCUGAUCCAGCCAUUCCGCGUGCAGGAUGAAGGCCCUCGGGUUGUAAACUGCUUUUGUACGGAACGAAAAGGUUUCUAUUAAUACUAGGAGCUCAUGACGGUACCGUAAGAAUAAGCACCGGCUAACUACGUG
RNAcentral lists this ribosomal RNA (486 nucleotides) under uncultured bacterium. RNAcentral's name for it is "bacterial SSU rRNA". It matches the Rfam family "Bacterial small subunit ribosomal RNA", at positions 30 to 507 of the family's 1533-position model. The record is from RNAcentral.